GCCCGCUUGGCUCAGUGGUAGAGCGUGUCACUAGUAUGGAACGAGGCAGAUGAUGAGAUCAUCUCAAGGUCGUGGGUUCGACCCCCACGUCGGGCU
This is a non-coding RNA of Podospora aff. communis PSN243, 96 nucleotides long. The record is from the annotation of a GenBank genome assembly. Lineage: Eukaryota; Fungi; Ascomycota; Sordariomycetes; Sordariales; Podosporaceae.